CAGUCGCCGCGGGAAUACGUAGGUCCCGAGCGUUGUCCGGAUUCAUUGGGCGUAAAGGGAGCGCAGGCGGGCAUAUAAGUCUUUCUUAAAAGUUCGGGGCUCAACCCCGUGAUGGGAAAGAAACUAUAUGUCUUGAGUACAGGAGAGGAAAGCGGAAUUCCCAGUGUAGCGGUGAAAUGCGUAGAUAUUGGGAGGAACACCAGUGGCGAAGGCGGCUCCCUGGUCUGUCACUGACGCUGAGGCUCGAAAGCAUGGGUAGCGAACAGGAUUAGAUACCCCUGUAGUCCCUGUCUCUUAUACA
This 301-nucleotide ribosomal RNA is filed under the name uncultured bacterium. Its description in RNAcentral is "partial 16S ribosomal RNA". It matches the Rfam family "Bacterial small subunit ribosomal RNA", at positions 509 to 808 of the family's 1533-position model. The record is from RNAcentral.